GUCUUUUGUUUCGGUAAAUAUGUGGUUUAAUUGAUUUUUGAAAAGUCUAGCGACAUUCACUUCAGCAGUUGAUUUAGUUUUUCCAACAUCUGUCUUUCAUAUCUCAGAAAGUUUUUAAAGAUUAAACGAUCAGGGGAAAUAACUUGUUCAAUACAAAUGAUUUGAUUUAAAUCAGUGUCAGAAAAAGAAGCUUUGAAAUUAAAGAUGAUUUCUUUCAUGAUAACUUUAUUUUGCUUUUAAAAUCAAUUAAAGAUCAGCUCCAACUACUAUUACCUCCAAUUUUGUGAGACAUAAAUUAAUUAAAAAUAAAAUGCUUGUGAAAAAUUCUCUGUGAACACAUAUACAUAAUCUAAUAUACAAUAAUUAAAAAAAAUUAUUAAUUUGAACCAGCCAUGUGCUAGCCAUCUAAAAAUACUGAUUCCUUUUUAUAUGGGACUGUCUGUCAGUUUGGUUCUACAGUAGUGACUGAAGUAUUAACAGUUGUUCACAGAAGUAUUAACAGUUGUUCACAGAAGUAUUAACAGAAGGAUGUAAACAGUGAUCUAAUGUCUUAUAUAAGCUGCAGAAGUUAAAAUAACAAAAGAUGAUGCCAAUCUGAUCUUUAAAUACUCUUCAGCAU
This 619-nucleotide long non-coding RNA is filed under the name Mytilus galloprovincialis (Mediterranean mussel). Lineage: Eukaryota; Metazoa; Mollusca; Bivalvia; Mytilida; Mytilidae. The record is from RNAcentral.